GAUGAAGAACGUAGCGAAAUGCGAUACGUAAUGUGAAUUGCAGAAUUCAGUGAAUCAUCGAAUCUUUGAACGCAUAUUGCGCUCUUUGGUAUUCCGAAGAGCAUGCUUGUUUGAGUAUCAGUAAACACCUCAAAGCUUUUGGAUUUUUUAAUCGAAAAGCUUUGGACUUGAGCAAUCCCAACACCAAUCUUUUUGAGAUCGGUGGCGGGUUGCUUGAAAUGCAGGUGCAGCUGGACAUUCUCCUGAGCUAAAAGCAUAUUCAUUUAGUCCCGUCAAACGGAUUAUUACUUUUGCUGCAGCUAACAUAAAGGGAGUUUGACCGUAUUGGCUGACUGAUGCAGGAUUUCACAAGGGUCGGCAACGAUUCUUGUUAAACUCGAUCUCAAAUCAAGUAAGACUACCCGCUGAACUUAAGCAUAUCAAUAAGCGGAGG
RNAcentral lists this unclassified non-coding RNA (433 nucleotides) under soil metagenome. RNAcentral's name for it is "partial contains 5.8S ribosomal RNA, internal transcribed spacer 2, and large subunit ribosomal RNA". The stretch from base 1 to 120 matches the Rfam family "5.8S ribosomal RNA", at positions 35 to 154 of the family's 154-position model. The record is from RNAcentral.